This is a long non-coding RNA of Bombus huntii, 1240 nucleotides long. RefSeq lists it as uncharacterized. Lineage: Eukaryota; Metazoa; Arthropoda; Insecta; Hymenoptera; Apidae. The transcript has 3 exons. The record is from RefSeq and is a predicted model, not a curated record.
UAGGAGUUGGUAACUUUGAUAUUAAAUUACAAAAGUUGCAGCAAUAGAAUUAGCGACCACAUUUUUAUGUUAUUAGGUACAUCUAUUCGACAUCGACAUUCCUAAUAAGAUUACUUUUCGAGAGAGUGAUUCACUCAGUCCUGGUAACUCCCUAACGACGUUCGAUGUGAAGGGCUGCAAAAUAGGUAUUGGCAUUUGCUAUGAUAUUAGAUUCGAGGAAAUGGCACGCAUUUAUCGGAACAAAGGUUGCCAAAUGCUGAUAUAUCCAGCGGCAUUCAAUAUGACCACUGGACCACUGCACUGGUCAUUACUUCAGCGUUUCAGAGCGAAUGAUAAUCAAUUAUACGUUGCCUGCAUAUCACCGGCUCGUGUUCCUUAAGCAAGUUACGUCGCAUGGGGACAUACACAGUUGACCAAUCCCUGGGGAAAGAUUCUUUACGAUUUGGAAACUCAAGAGAAUAUGGCAGUCACCGAUAUCGAUCUAAAAGUUGUUGAGGAAGUAAGGGCUCAGAUACCUACAUUUUCUCAGAGACGUACAGAUUUGUACGACACUGUCUGUAAGAAGGAGUAACUCUACACUAAAACAGAAAAUGUUUUUUUAUAAUAUUUCUACUACGAUAUCCUUUUUUUGUGAAUUAUUACUAAUUUCUUAUCAUUUGUACUAAAUGAAUGACUCAAUUAAGAAAACCAAAACGUUAUAAAUAAUAAUCUGUAUAUCUUGUGUAUCAACAUGUAAUUGGAUAUUAUAAUAAUAUAGGAAUGCUAUAAUAAUAUAGGAUAAUAAUAUAGGAGAAUAGUAAUAUAGAAAAAAACUACAUGCUUUUAAACACCUUUAAUAUCGAUCACAUAAAUUGUUAUAAUUCACAAUGAUUACGCAUACAUAAAAGACCCCUUGAUAGUAAAAUUUACGAUCAAAAGGCAAUUACGUAUCGUUUAACAACAUUUAAUUUAUAACACCUUUUAAACAUUUAGACAGAUUAACACAUAACACUUCUUAUAUAGAAACAUCAAUUCGAAGUUAUCAGCUUGGAGAAAUUGGUCGAUUAAUACCUGUAGAUUGUCUGUCUCGAUGAAAGACUUAAAGAGAGCAAAAACAUGAUAAUGCCGCUAAUAUAAUAUUCCUUCUUUCUUGUAUCUGUCUGCCUCUCAGGUCGUUUUACUAAUUACAAUAAGUAAUUUCGCCUUCUUUGCGCUCUCUUUUAACGCAUUCGAGACCGAAAGAAAUUCAUAUCAGUCAGUA